This 253-nucleotide ribosomal RNA is filed under the name uncultured bacterium. Its description in RNAcentral is "partial 16S ribosomal RNA". It matches the Rfam family "Bacterial small subunit ribosomal RNA", at positions 524 to 776 of the family's 1533-position model. The record is from RNAcentral.
UACGAAGGGGGCUAGCGUUGCUCGGAAUCACUGGGCGUAAAGAGUGCGUAGGCGGUUUUCUAAGUUUGGUGUGAAAUCUCCCGGCUUAACUGGGAGGGUGCGCCGAAGACUGGAAGGCUUGAGUAUGGGAGAGGUAAGCGGAAUUCCUGGUGUAGCGGUGAAAUGCGUAGAUAUCAGGAGGAACACCUGCGGUGUAGACGGCUUACUGGACCAUCACUGACGCUGAGGCACGAAAGCGUGGGUAGCAAACAGG